Molecule: ribosomal RNA, 434 nt
Filed under: uncultured bacterium
Lineage: Bacteria
Description: bacterial SSU rRNA
Rfam family: Bacterial small subunit ribosomal RNA
Source: RNAcentral
AACGAACGCUGGCGGCGCGCCUAAUACAUGCAAGUCGAGCGAGAAGACGUAGCAAUACGUUUGUAAAGCGGCGAACGGGUGAGGAAUACAUGGGUAACCUACCCUCGAGUGGGGAAUAACUACCCGAAAGGUUAGCUAAUACCGCGUACGCUCCUUGGACUUCGGUUCAGGGAGGAAAGCGAUACCGUGGGUAUCGCGCUCUUGGAUGGGCUCAUGUCCUAUCAGCUUGUUGGUGAGGUAACGGCUCACCAAGGCUUCGACGGGUAGCUGGUCUGAGAGGACGAUCAGCCACACUGGCACUGCGACACGGGCCAGACUCCUACGGGAGGCAGCAGUAAGGAAUAUUGCGCAAUGGGCGAAAGCCUGACGCAGCGACGCCGCGUGGGGGAUGAAGGUCUUCGGGUUGUAAACCCCUGUCGGGUGGAACGAACAAG